AGCCAUUGAAACUGUAUUACUUGAGUAAUCUUGAGGUAGGCGGAAUGUGUAGUGUAGCGGUGAAAUGCUUAGAUAUUACACAGAACACCGAUUGCGAAGGCAGCUUACUAAGGAUUUACUGACGCUGAUGCACGAGAGCGUGGGGAUCAAACAGGAUUAGAUACCCUGGUAGUCCACGCCGUAAACGAUGAUAACUCGCUGUUGGCGAUACACAGUCAGCGGCUUAGCGAAAGCGUUAAGUUAUCCACCUGGGGAGUACGCUCGCAAGAGUGAAACUCAAAGGAAUUGACGGGGGCCCGCACAAGCGGAGGAACAUGUGGUUUAAUUCGAUGAUACGCGAGGAACCUUACCUGGGCUUAAAUGUGCUGUGACCGCUGGAGAAAUUCGGCUUUUCGCAAGAACAGAGUACAAGGUGCUGCAUGGUUGUCGUCAGCUCGUGCCGUGAGGUGUCGGGUUAAGUCCCAUAACGAGCGCAACCCUUAUUGUCAGUUGCUAACAGGUUAAGCUGAGGACUCUGGCGAGACUGCCACCGUAAGGUGUGAGGAAGGUGGGGAUGACGUCAAACCAGCACGGCCCUUAUGUCCAGGGCUACACACGUGUUACAACGGCCAGUACAAAGGGCAGCUACCAGGCGACUGGAUGCUAAUCUCUAAAGCUGGUCUCAGUUCGGAUCGGAGUCUGCAACCCGACUCCGUGAAGCUGGAUUCGCUAGUAAUCGCGCAUCAGCCAUGGCGCGGUGAAUACGUUCCCGGGCCUUGUACACACCGCCCGUCAAACCAUGGGAGUUGGGGGUACCUGAAGUAUGUGACCGCAAGGAGCGUCCUAGGGUAAAACCGAUGACUGGGGUU
RNAcentral lists this ribosomal RNA (848 nucleotides) under uncultured Bacteroidota bacterium. RNAcentral's name for it is "bacterial SSU rRNA". It matches the Rfam family "Bacterial small subunit ribosomal RNA", at positions 622 to 1482 of the family's 1533-position model. The record is from RNAcentral. Lineage: Bacteria; Pseudomonadati; Bacteroidota.